CAACCCUUUUCCCUUAUUAGCAUUUGGAACCGUAAAGGGAAUUUUUCGGUAGCUAAGCAGGGUGUUAACAGCUGUUGCUGGAAGGCACCUAAACAACUUUAUGUGUUUGUGCCGUGUCUCCGUUUAGCUGGUGCUUGAGCGCCAGUGAAGCCUUUCAUAUCCCUGUGCCUUUUGGGCCCAGCCUGGUAGUUUCUAUCGUUGUGGGGCCCAAGAACCCGUCUCUGGUGACAGGAUUCCACCAUCAGUUUUUCCUGGACUUCCGGUUUGCAGAUGGUUGGACUUUUCAGCUUCCAUCAUCAAAUGAGGACAUUUGGAGGCACAUGAAGGUUAAGAAAUUGCCCACGGUCACACAGCUGGCUUGCCAGCCCUGUGAGUGAGUCACCUUGGAAGAAGAUCCUCCAGCUCCCAGUCAAGCCUUUAGAUAACUGCUUCGCUGGCUGACUUCUUUAUUGCAACUUUAUGUGACUCCCUGAACCAGAACCAAAUUCCUGCUACAGAGACUGCAAAGUAAUAGAUUUCAUUGUUGUUUUAAGUCACUACAUUUUAGAGUAAUUUAUUACAAAGCAAUGGAUAACCAAGACAAGAGGCCUCAAAAAACCUAUCUUUAUACACCUUUUCCUAAGAAGCUAUUCUACCCAACUAAAAAUGAGAACAAAAUCUGGCAAGAAAGACAUAAAAGGAACUUCUAGGGUGACGGUGAAAAGACACCCCAUGAAGACAGAGAUGCAGCUGGCCUAGAAAGCAUCUGAAGGAGGGCACAGGGUGGAGCAGGACAGGGGAUCCUAGGGGUAUGGGGGAUGCUCCUUGGGGACUAGCUGAUGCAUUUGAUCACAUGGAAAACAGCAUGAGGGGGCUUUCAUAAAUCUGCUAGAGUCUCUGAAAAGAAAUGACAAAACUAAAAAUAAAUGAAGCAAUUAUUAAUUCUAAAGCUACAAAUAGAGUUGUACAAAGAAAGGAAGUUUCAGCCUUGUUUAACUCCUGGCUCAGUAAAUAAUAUUUGUAACUACAACAAAAACAAAAAUUGAGUCAUUACAGUAUUAGAAAAAUGGGAUGAGGGAAACUAUUAUGGAGUCUUCAGCUUUCAUAAUAGAAAACCAAUAGAUAAUAUCUAAAACUGAUAUUAUUGGGGCACCUGGGGGCUCAGUGGGUUAAGCCUCUGCCUUCAGCUCAAGUC
This is a long non-coding RNA of Mustela erminea (ermine), 1174 nucleotides long. RefSeq lists it as uncharacterized. The transcript has 3 exons. Lineage: Eukaryota; Metazoa; Chordata; Mammalia; Carnivora; Mustelidae. The record is from RefSeq and is a predicted model, not a curated record.